This 370-nucleotide ribosomal RNA is filed under the name uncultured prokaryote. RNAcentral describes it as "bacterial SSU rRNA". It matches the Rfam family "Bacterial small subunit ribosomal RNA", at positions 524 to 896 of the family's 1533-position model. The record is from RNAcentral.
UACGAAGGAUCCAAGCGUUGUCCGGAUUUACUGGGUUUAAAGGGAGCGUAGGCGGUCUAAUAAGUCAGUGGUGAAAGCCUUCAGCUUAACUGAAGAAUUGCCAUUGAAACUGCUAGACUCGAGUAUGGUUGAGGUCACUGGAAUGUAACAUGUAGCGGUGAAAUGCAUAGAUAUGUUACAGAACACCAAUUGCGAAGGCAGGUGACUAAGCCAUAACUGACGCUGAGGCUCGAAAGCGUGGGGAGCAAACAGGAUUAGAUACCCUGGUAGUCCACGCCCUAAACUAUGAAUACUCGGUCUUGGCGAUAUACAGUCAGGGCCCAAGCGAAAGCGUUAAGUAUUCCACCUGGGAAGUACGUUCGCAAGAAUG